CGCGAAAUAAUUUGAGCUAACUACUUACACAUUUUAGAUUAAACCAUUGCGUGUUGCAAAACGAAACCUAGAUAAGUAGUUAGGGGUGAUAGGCCAAGCAAGAAUUAAGAUAACUCGAUUUUAAGGAAAUAUAUUUAGUAUAAAGUCAAGUUUGGAGUGACAAGGCUCUAAGUGGGAACUAAGUGUUUUAAUAAUUGUGCUCACAGCUUUAAUCAGCGAUGCACCUUGUAGUUUAAUACUUAAGUAAAUAAAGUUUGUUAGAUAAUACUUAAACUGUACAAUUUAUAUAAUGUUAAUAAUGUUAAUAUAAGUAAAAAAAAAAGAUUAGUAAAAUGAACUCGGCAAUAAAUCUUUCAACUGUUUACCAAAAACAUAACUGCGUGAAUUAACUCGUAGCGUUUUCUGCUCAAUGAAUAUUAAAUGGCCGCAGUACCCUGACUGUGCAAAGGUAGCAUAAUCAGUUGGCUUAUAAUUGAAGUCUAGCAUGAAUGAAUACAUGGGGGAUUACUGUAUCUUACUAAGUUGUUGAAAUUAUUAAGUAAGUGAAAAUACUUACGCGUAAAUAAAAGACGAGAAGACCCUAGAAAUUUUAAUUGUAUUUUGCUGGGGCGGCAUAGUAGCAUGGAACCUACAAUAUAGAACAUGAGUUUAAUGAAAAGAAAGAUUAAUUACUCUAGGGAUAACAGCAUAAUUUAUUAAAGAUUGUGACCUCGAUGUUGGACUAGGAAAUUUAGGCCUAGAAGGCGUGUAAUAUUGCUCUGUUC
Molecule: ribosomal RNA, 764 nt
Filed under: Amphidromus inversus annamiticus
Lineage: Eukaryota; Metazoa; Mollusca; Gastropoda; Stylommatophora; Camaenidae
Description: partial 16S ribosomal RNA
Rfam family: Archaeal large subunit ribosomal RNA (bases 315-556)
Source: RNAcentral